Molecule: ribosomal RNA, 712 nt
Filed under: uncultured archaeon
Lineage: Archaea
Description: bacterial SSU rRNA
Rfam family: Archaeal small subunit ribosomal RNA
Source: RNAcentral
UGCUAGUCGCACGAGCUCAUACUCGUGGCGGAAAGCUCAGUAACACGUGGCCAAACUACCCUACAGACCAGCAUAACCUCGGGAAACUGAGGCCAAUACUGGAUGGCGCUUCGACGGUGGAACGCCCCGAAGCGCGAAACGUUCAGGCGCUGUAGGAUGUGGCUGCGGCCGAUUAGGUAGACGGUGGGGUAACGGCCCACCGUGCCGAUAAUCGGUACGGGUCGUGAGAGCGAGAGCCCGGAGACGGUAUCUGAGACAAGAUUCCGGGCCCUACGGGGCGCAGCAGGCGCGAAACCUUUACACUGCACGGAAGUGCGAUAGGGGAAUCCCAAGUGCGAGGGCAUACUAGCCCUCGCUUUUGUUGACUGUAAGGAGGUCAACGAAUAAGAGCUGGGCAAGACCGGUGCCAGCCGCCGCGGUAAUACCGGCAGCUCGAGUGAUGUCCAAUUUUAUUGGGCCUAAAGCGUCCGUAGCUGGCCAGCCAAGUUCGUCGGGAAAUCCACCUGCCCAACAGGUGGGCGUCCGGCGAAAACUGUCUGGCUUGGAACCGGAAGGCUCAGAGGGUACGUCUGGGGUAGGAGUGAAAUCCUAUAAUCCCGGGAGGACCACCAGUGGCGAAGGCGCUCGGCUGGAACGCGCCCGACGGUGAGGGGCGAAAGCCGGGGGAGCGAACCGGAUUAAAUACCCGGGUAGUCCCGGCUGUAAACGAUGC